AUUGAACGCUGGCGGCAGGCUUAACACAUGCAAGUCGAGCGGGGGAAGGUAGCUUGCUACCGGACCUAGCGGCGGACGGGUGAGUAAUGCUUAGGAAUCUGCCUAUUAGUGGGGGACAACAUCUCGAAAGGGAUGCUAAUACCGCAUACGUCCUACGGGAGAAAGCAGGGGAUCUUCGGACCUUGCGCUAAUAGGUGAGCCUAAGUCGGAUGAGCUAGUUGGUGGGGUAAAGGCCUACCAAGGCGACGAUCUGAAGCGGGUCUGAGAGGAUGAUCCGCCACACUGGGACUGAGACACGGCCCAGACUCCUACGGGAGGCAGCAGUGGGGAAUAUUGGACAAUGGGGGGAACCCUGAUCCAGCCAUGCCGCGUGUGUGAAGAAGGCCUUAUGGUUGUAAAGCACUUUAAGCGAGGAGGAGGCUACUCUAGUUAAUACCUAGGGAUAGUGGACGUUACUCGCAGAAUAAGCACCGGCUAACUCUGUGCCAGCCGCCGCGGUAA
This 501-nucleotide ribosomal RNA is filed under the name uncultured bacterium. RNAcentral's name for it is "partial 16S ribosomal RNA". It matches the Rfam family "Bacterial small subunit ribosomal RNA", at positions 30 to 523 of the family's 1533-position model. The record is from RNAcentral.